This 28-nucleotide non-coding RNA is filed under the name Mus musculus (house mouse). Lineage: Eukaryota; Metazoa; Chordata; Mammalia; Rodentia; Muridae. The record is from RNAcentral.
UCCAACCAGGACCAGGGCAGGCAGUUUA